RNAcentral lists this ribosomal RNA (208 nucleotides) under uncultured Turicibacter sp. Its description in RNAcentral is "partial 16S ribosomal RNA". It matches the Rfam family "Bacterial small subunit ribosomal RNA", at positions 568 to 775 of the family's 1533-position model. Lineage: Bacteria; Bacillati; Bacillota; Erysipelotrichia; Erysipelotrichales; Turicibacteraceae. The record is from RNAcentral.
CGCGCAGGUGGUUGAUUAAGUCUGAUGUGAAAGCCCACGGCUUAACCGUGGAGGGUCAUUGGAAACUGGUCGACUUGAGUGCAGAAGAGGGAAGUGGAAUUCCAUGUGUAGCGGUGAAAUGCGUAGAGAUAUGGAGGAACACCAGUGGCGAAGGCGGCUUCCUGGUCUGUAACUGACACUGAGGCGCGAAAGCGUGGGGAGCAAACAG